AUUGAACGCUGGCGGCAGGCCUAACACAUGCAAGUCGAGCGAGCGGCGGACGGGUGAGUAAUGUAUGGGGAUCUGCCUGAUGGAGGGGGAUAACUACUGGAAACGGUAGCUAAUACCGCAUACCAUCAGAUGAACCCAUAUGGGAUUAGCUGGUCGGUGGGGUAACGGCUCACCUAGGCGAAGAUCCCUAGCUGGUCUGAGAGGGGGAACAGCCACCAUGGAACUGAGAAACGGCCCAGACCCCUACGGGAGGCAGCAGUGGGGAAUAUUGCACAAUGGGCGCAAGCCUGAUGCAGCCAGGCCGCGUGUAUGAAGAAGGCCUUCGGGUUGUAAAGUACUUUCAGUCGGGAGGCGUUACCGACAGAAGAAGCACCGGCUAACUCCGUGCCAGCAGCCGCGGUAAUUC
This 406-nucleotide ribosomal RNA is filed under the name uncultured bacterium. Its description in RNAcentral is "partial 16S ribosomal RNA". It matches the Rfam family "Bacterial small subunit ribosomal RNA", at positions 30 to 526 of the family's 1533-position model. The record is from RNAcentral.